This 460-nucleotide ribosomal RNA is filed under the name uncultured bacterium. RNAcentral describes it as "partial 16S ribosomal RNA". It matches the Rfam family "Bacterial small subunit ribosomal RNA", at positions 338 to 795 of the family's 1533-position model. The record is from RNAcentral.
CCUACGGGUGGCAGCAGUGAGGAAUAUUGGUCAAUGGACGAGAGUCUGAACCAGCCAAGUAGCGUGAAGGAUGACUGCCCUAUGGGUUGUAAACUUCUUUUAUAUGGGAAUAAAACGUUGCACGUGUGCCAUUUUGUAUGUACCUUAUGAAUAAGGAUCGGCUAACUCCGUGCCAGCAGCCGCGGUAAUACGGAGGAUCCGAGCGUUAUCCGGAUUUAUUGGGUUUAAAGGGAGCGUAGAUGGGAUGUUAAGUCAGUUGUGAAAGUUUGCGGCUCAACCGUAAAAUUGCAAUUGAUACUGGCAGUCUUGAGUACAGUUGAGGUAGGCGGAAUGCGUGGUGUAGCGGUGAAAUGCAUAGAUAUCACGAAGAACUCCGAUUGCGAAGGCAGCUUACUAAACUGCAACUGACACUGAUGCACGAAAGUGUGGGUAUCAAACAGGAUUAGAUACCCGAGUAGUC